This 182-nucleotide ribosomal RNA is filed under the name Rubrobacter sp. RNAcentral describes it as "partial 23S ribosomal RNA". It matches the Rfam family "Bacterial large subunit ribosomal RNA", at positions 2745 to 2925 of the family's 2925-position model. The record is from RNAcentral. Lineage: Bacteria; Bacillati; Actinomycetota; Rubrobacteria; Rubrobacterales; Rubrobacteraceae.
GUAGCUAUGUGCGGAACGGAUAACCGCUGAAAGCAUCUAAGCGGGAAGCCGACCUCAAGAAGAGAUCUCCCAUCCCCAUGAGGGAGUAAGACUCCUGGUAGACCACCAGGUUGAUAGGCCACAGGUGUAAGUGCAGCGAUGUAUGCAGCCGAGUGGUACUAAUAAGUCGAGGGCUUAAUGGU